UGAGGAAUAUUGGUCAAUGGGCGGGAGCCUGAACCAGCCAAGUCGCAUGAGGGAAGACGGUCCUAUGGAUUGUAAACCUCUUUUGUCGGGGAGCAAAGAGGCCACGUGUGGUCAAAAGCGAGAGUACCCGAAGAAAAGCAUCGGCUAACUCCGUGCCAGCAGCCGCGGUAAUACGGAGGAUGCGAGCGUUAUCCGGAUUUAUUGGGUUUAAAGGGUGCGUAGGCGGGACGGUAAGUCAGCGGUAAAAAUGCGGAGCUCAACUCCGUCGAGCCGUUGAAACUGCCGUUCUUGAGUGAGCGAGAAGUAUGCGGAAUGCGUGGUGUAGCGGUGAAAUGCAUAGAUAUCACGCAGAACUCCGAUUGCGAAGGCAGCAUACCGGCGCUCAACUGACGCUGAAGCACGAAGGCGUGGGUAUCGAACAGGAUUAGAUACC
RNAcentral lists this ribosomal RNA (433 nucleotides) under uncultured bacterium. Its description in RNAcentral is "bacterial SSU rRNA". It matches the Rfam family "Bacterial small subunit ribosomal RNA", at positions 355 to 786 of the family's 1533-position model. The record is from RNAcentral.